RNAcentral lists this ribosomal RNA (232 nucleotides) under uncultured bacterium. RNAcentral describes it as "partial 16S ribosomal RNA". It matches the Rfam family "Bacterial small subunit ribosomal RNA", at positions 118 to 334 of the family's 1533-position model. The record is from RNAcentral.
UAAAGAACCUACCCUUUAGCGGGGGAUAGCCUCGGGAAACUGGGGGUAAUACCGCAUACGCUAUAGACAUCGCAUGAUGAUUAUAGGAAAGGCUUUGGUCGUAAGACUGGGGUCACUAAAGGAGGGCUUUGCGGCCUAUCAGGUAGUUGGUGAGGUAACGGCUCACCAAGCCAAAGACGGGUAGCUGGUCUGAGAGGAUGGUCAGCCACACUGGAACUGAGACACGGUCCAG